Molecule: non-coding RNA, 1179 nt
Organism: Camelina sativa (false flax)
Lineage: Eukaryota; Viridiplantae; Streptophyta; Magnoliopsida; Brassicales; Brassicaceae
Source: RefSeq, a predicted model, not a curated record
GGUUAAUAUGAAAAACUAUCUACCAACCAGAGUAUCACCGGAGUUACUUGUGUCGCUCUGAGAGAAAAUGACAAAACCGGAUCACCGGAAACACACGCUGUUCUAGACCGAACGUUCCCGUCAGAAAGUUCCUUCAGAUUCCUUUAAAUGCCGAAUGGGUUGGAUCUCUCCAUCUACAGUCCUAAAACGGUAAAAAUUUGUACUCUUAUCGCUUGUGGUUUAUGCACUGGAGAUGUUCGAUGAAAUGCCUGAGUGAGAGUUACGGUUCCAAAGAGUUGGGGUGAUGUUCUAUAAGGCGUUUGGGUCUUGUGAAUGCUUCCAGGGAUUUGAUAGAAGGGCUUAUCAGGAAUUGAGCUUUGAGGCUCCAGCAAACUCAUGCGCUUGUUAUGGUGUAUGUGCCUAUGCGGACCCAUUGGGUUGUGUGUGACACAAGUUCCUCCAAAAUGUAAAUAUUUUGAAGGAUUUAUACCAAAAUAUACUGAGAAGUUGUAAAGAAGAAAUUGGACCGGUGGUUGUGUAAGGCGUACCCAACUAAACUGGAACCAGGAUCUAAUGGACGCAGUGCAAUUUUCUGCAGGAGGAGAACUUCUUUUCAGUCGUCUUGCACAAUCUGCACUAAGACUAGCUUCAUAAAUUUCCGGUGUAAUAAGUUCAAGAAAACCAUUGCUGCUGGUAUUGUGAGCCUUUCUCUAUCUGUUCUACUGGGUUCUGCUGUGUUUGGUUUCAUGAGAUUCUGAGUGAAACAUAAUGGUAACACACUUAUUAUUCAUUUCUUUGCUAUAACGUAACAAGUACUAGAUGUUAAGCACUAAAUCGAAUUCUAAUUCAAAUUUCAGCAUCUAUAUAUGUUUUAAGCAUCAGAAGUAAAUAAUUCCACAACCGUGUUAUAAUAUCCUAACCAGUUUGCUUAAUUCUUGCAAAUACCAACCAUUAAUCCUAAAAAGUUUUUCUUUUGCCAUUGACACAGUCAUUUCUUACAAAACACGAAUAUGUUUACACACGGUGUUACAAUACGAAGAAGCCAAUUGUAGCAAAGAGACAGGAAGAUUUUAAGAUACAAGAGACAUACAACACACAAAGGAUGAUGAUCACCUCAGUGGAACUUGAGGCUGGUCAAGACGUUGUUGUUGACGGGAUCCGCCAAGUGAUCAAGCAGGUUCUGGUAAGGCCCCACUCCGG